RNAcentral lists this ribosomal RNA (508 nucleotides) under uncultured bacterium. Its description in RNAcentral is "bacterial SSU rRNA". It matches the Rfam family "Bacterial small subunit ribosomal RNA", at positions 17 to 518 of the family's 1533-position model. The record is from RNAcentral.
UUCUGGCUCAGGAUGAACGCUAGCUACAGGCUUAACACAUGCAAGUCGAGGGGCAGCAUUGGAGUAGCAAUACUCAGAUGGCGACCGGCGCACGGGUGAGUAACGCGUAUCCAACCUGCCGCUUACUCGGGGAUAGCCUUUCGAAAGAAAGAUUAAUACCCGAUGGUAUAAAGAGUUCGCAUGUUCUCUUUAUUAAAGAAUUUCGGUAAGCGAUGGGGAUGCGUUCCAUUAGAUAGUUGGCGGGGUAACGGCCCACCAAGUCUACGAUGGAUAGGGGUUCUGAGAGGAAGGUCCCCCACAUUGGAACUGAGACACGGUCCAAACUCCUACGGGAGGCAGCAGUGAGGAAUAUUGGUCAAUGGACGAGAGUCUGAACCAGCCAAGUAGCGUGAAGGAUGACUGCCCUAUGGGUUGUAAACUUCUUUUAUAAGGGAAUAAAGUGAGGGAUGUGUCCCUUUUUGUAUGUACCUUAUGAAUAAGGAUCGGCUAACUCCGUGCCAGCAGCAGC